Non-coding RNA from Tetranychus urticae (two-spotted spider mite), 4051 nucleotides. The record is from RefSeq and is a predicted model, not a curated record. Lineage: Eukaryota; Metazoa; Arthropoda; Arachnida; Trombidiformes; Tetranychidae.
AUAGCAGAAGCGAAAACAAGCAGAAGUCUUUUUGGCGCAAACGUUAUUAUUGAGUGUUGAAAUGUGUAAAGCUGAUGUAACAGACUAACAGAGGCAAAGGGAUGAAGAUAAGUGAAGAUAGAAAAAGAUGAAAGAAAAAAGAAACAGAAAAAGAGAAUAAGACAAGAAAAAAUCGAUAUUGGGUUAACAGAAGAGAAGUAAAAUUUAACCAAAAAUUGACUCUUUGAUUUCAAUUUAAUAAAUUCACUUUGGUGUAAACAGAUAAUAAAAGGUACAAUUCACUAGAUGAAUAAAAAUUGACUAUUGUGAGUAUCAAAGUCCAAGUUGAAAGUAAAUGAAUUUAACCCAAAGUUGACGGUUUAAACCAACAACUGCAACUGAAAAAUAAGGCGAAUCAAGUUCCCGCUUCUUUCUCUCUCCUCCUUCGCUCUCUUUCUCUUUCUUUCUCCCUCUUUCCUCUCUUUUUCUCUUUAAUUUUCCCUUUCUCUCUUUGAACAGUUGUUUUUCAAAUGGUCUUUUGAUACUAAAUCUUGACUUUUUUAUUUUAUAAUUUUGACACUUUUUAUAAUUUCAUGAUCGUUAUCAUCUGUUUUUUUUCUUGCUCUCUAGUAUUCAUGAACAUGGCUUUUUAAUUUACCCAAUUAACUAGAUGUCGGACAAGCUAAUCACAGUCUAAUUUCAUCCUGUCCAGCGCAAUCAUCAAAUCUUGAAGAAGGAUUGUUAUAUGGAUUGACCAAGCUCCAUUAUCGUCUGACUUUGUUUUAUUUCUGGCAAAAGAGAAUCACCAAUUUUGUCAAUGCGAUUAUUCACCUCACCUCUUUCACCAUUAAAUCCGUUAAUGAAAGUGUCCUUUUUGAUGAUGAUCGUGAAAGCUCAAAUUAGAGAUUUCUUACAUUCUGUUUAUUUUUCAUUCAAAUUCACCCACUCUCCUGGCGUAAAUCUUGAAAAUCAGUAGCAGCCUUAAACAUAAACAACAAGAUUAAUGGAAAAUAGGAUUCCACUUUUUCUCAAUCUCAAUUAUCUUGUUAUUCCUGUCAACAUUAUCUUCUUUCAUCAAUUGUAACGCUGCCCGUGGUGAUCAUUAUCGGUAUCAUAACAAUCUUGCAUCCCAUGCAUGGACCACACAAUUUACGUAUCAACUGUCCGACAUUGUAUUAAUAAAUGGAAUGGUUUAUAAUGGUUAAUCAAAGCUAUUGAUCGGCUAUCAUCAACGGUAUCAACUGCCAUCUUUUACCAUAUUAAUCCAAGUCAACAUUUUGAAUUUUCUUGAUUCAGAAAAAAAGGCUAAUUCUUGAUUCCACACAAUGAAUGUUUAUUUUUCAAAACGGUUGACCUUCAAUUACUCCAAACAAAUGCACAAUUGUAGCAAAAGUUUCUCAGCCAUCCGAUUCUCAAUGUUUAGUUAUUCAUUUCAAUCCACCGAGGGAACAGGUCAGCCGUAAGCCUGGCCUUGAACAUGAUAUCAAAUCAUACAAAUCAUUUAAACACGCAGUGUACACUUACUCAAUCAUUAAAGAUUCAUCAUCAUGUUUCCAAAGUGAGUUUGACAGUUAUAUUUGAAAUAAAUGAUGAAGACUGCAAACUUGCUAAUAAUUUUGCGCCUCAUUUAGUUAAAGAAAUUUAAACUCGAAAUUUUUCUCGAAUCAACUCAUCCAAAACAAUUUUACCUCUACUUAGACCAAUUGCAAUCAAAUUGAUAAAGAUUUUUAAAUUUGGCCACAAUGAACAGAUUGAACCAAGAAAUGGCUUGAUUACCUGUCCAUUUGAUUGUUUGACCUGAAAAUAGUUUCUUUACAAUUUCUGCUCUCGUUCAAUGAUAAAUCACCAAAUUGAUUUCCUGCUAUUGUAAAAAAUUAUUAUUCCUGGUCAAUUAAUUUUAUCGUAAAAUGCUAACCCAGAAUAUCAAUCAAUUUUGGUUGAUGCAAUUUAAACGAGCGUUAACUCUGAUGAAAUGGAAAGCCAGUUGAAUUUAAAUUGCUGUUAAAAUAUACAACUAGAUGGCCAAUUGAGGAUCUUGUUAAUUGUUUUCAAUGCUCAUCCAAUAAUAUUGAUAAUUUGAUGGUAAAAUUUAAAGUAAUCCGAUGUUUGCAAAUGGUCAAGGAACCUUGAAGAGCCAAUGUUUAUCCAGUCUGUUCAAUUGAAGCACAUCAAACUUGGAAUCGAUCAAUUCAAUGCUUGUCUAACUUCAUUAACUAAUAUACACGACAUACUCUAAUCAGUUAUGAUAAUAAAAAAUGUGGAUAUAACAAGCGACUUUGGCGGAGCAAUACAAAACGUCUUCCACAUCAUUUGUAUCCUCAUCUCUUCUCUAACAGUUUUCUUCAUGGUUUUAGCUGGGCCUUUCUCAACCAAAUUACCAGGAUUCUCAUUAAAUGAUUUAGAAGCCUAUUCCAUUUACAUGUUCCUCUAAAACAACACACAAAAUAUGAUCCAUCUUUCAUUCUUUUCUCACAACAUUCAGCAAAAAAAAUGAAAAGACAAAGAAGGCCACUUUUUCAACUGUAAUGUGAUUCUUAAAAGUUCAAAAGGGAUCAAGCUUUAAUUGAAAAUACAUUUACUACGGGGUAAAAUGAUGCUGAUAAAUAACUUGAAACUAGUAUGGACCAAUAUGUUAUUCCUGUUUCAUGACAAGGAGAAAGCUUUCAACUGUUGCAAAUUUUAGGAUAAUCAUCAUUCAUCUUGAUACCAAGACAAAAAUUGAAUAUUUAAAGAAUCACAAUUAUUUGAAGGGGAAAAAGAAUGAUCACAAUGGUAAUCAUGGUGAAGCUGAAAUCGGCCAGAAUGAUGAAUCCUUCUUAACCAGUUGUUGCUGUUGUUAUAUUUAUGUUUGUUAAAAGUCAUCAGGAGGAGGGCGGACAAUAAUACUGCACAAAAUUUUAAGCACAAUUAAAGAAAGCAAGUCAAAAAAAGUAUGAUCAUAUUAAUAAUGGUGGAAAAGGAUGAAAAGCUUCAAUUGAUGGAUUAAUGGUUGACUCUAAAGACUGGACCGGAUAGUUACAAUAUCAUAUGACUUAUUCAGAAAAGAGAUGAAACAGAAUAAGGUCAACUUCUCCACCCUGACCGACUGCUUAACCAACCAAACACACCAUUCUCUUAUCUUAGUCUUCUUUUUUUGCUUUUUACUGUCUCUCUCUUACAUAUAUCAUCAGUAUCAUCUUUAUUUCAUACUGAUCGCCAUCAAAAUUCAAUGUCAUCCUACUCGUUUGGUGAAUGCUUUAUAUAUUAUUAAGUAUAAAUCAUUUUUAGCAGCGCCUUCAGUAGCGCCCGAACCACAAACCGAUAUUGUUAUGGCUGCUGAUACUACUUCUGGGGCUGUCAAUUUUUGAUUAUUAGCAUUAUUAUUUUCUGUAUUACCAUUAUUAUGAUUAUGAUCAUGUUGAUGGUUGAGCCUUGAUGAUUCAAGCUUCACCCUCCUACUGUGUAUUAUUAUCCUUAUUAUUAUAUUAUAUGUAAACAAUAUAAGUUCAAUGGCCGGAUAACAAGAUCAACACCCAAAUGUUAGUGCUAUUUUCAGUGAGACAACAAAAAAUGAAGGUGAAGAGGACGAAUAGCGGCUCUUUUUCCCAGUCGAUUACAAGCAAAGCGCCUCAACAAUUGGUCUUUAUUUAAUAGCAUUACGAUUGUGUCUAAAUAUUGUCAGAUGCGUUUUAUUCAAACGUUUGUCAACAUUUGGGUAAACAGUUUACCCAAUUUUACUUGGUAACUGUGUAGCACCAAUUUGUUGAACAUCCGGCAACAAUUUAUCCACAAUUUAACAGUUAAUCAACAAAAUUCAACAAUUUCAUUUCAUUCAAACCUUAAACAAUUGAUUUUCCCAAAUAUCAAAGUUUACAUUUUUCAAAUCUCAUCAAUUUGCUGAUAAUUUACGGAUUCAAUUUCACCAGUAGCUUCUUGUUUUACACCUGAGUAUUUUUCAUUUCAAGCAAUCUCUAAAUUCAUCAAUAUUGCUUAUUGAUUGACUCUAACACAUUGUACAGAAAUUAUAAUUUACAGUUUACUUGAAAUAAUUAAAUGUUAGACUUGGUUACAGUUUGUUAUUGAUUUACUUUUU